UGGAACAAAUGUGUUUUCUAAUGUACCCAUGCCGAACACAGAAGUUAAGCCCUAGAACGCCGGAAGUAGUUGGGGGUUGCCCCCUGUGAGAUAGGGAAGUCGCUUAGCU
RNAcentral lists this ribosomal RNA (109 nucleotides) under Streptococcus pneumoniae. Lineage: Bacteria; Bacillati; Bacillota; Bacilli; Lactobacillales; Streptococcaceae. The record is from RNAcentral.